Oryzias melastigma (Indian medaka) is the source of this 457-nucleotide long non-coding RNA. RefSeq lists it as uncharacterized. The record is from RefSeq and is a predicted model, not a curated record. The transcript has 3 exons. Lineage: Eukaryota; Metazoa; Chordata; Actinopteri; Beloniformes; Adrianichthyidae.
AUCUACGGCGAUAAUUUUUUGGAAAUCCACCAGGUGGCGACCGCGCACAGAUGGAGGAUGAACAGAAUCUUCAAUUCCUCUACGUCACUUCCGUUCCCUGUCCUUUGAAGCCUCGAGGACCAAACCGUCUCGGAGAAACACAUGGCUAAACUGAGUUUCAAGCGGGGAGCAGAUCCAGGAAUGCCUGAGCCGACUGUCCUGAGUUUGCUUUGGGGCUGAGAUCAUCUCCAUGCAGCCAAUCGCUGCAGCUCUUCAAGAUCAUGUGUCGUCCAGGAAGUAGACACCAUCUCUGUGCAUGAGAAGAAGGUCGUGCUGCAAAAACCAUGAACUGACAGUGAAAAGGCUCAAAUCUCAUGAACAAAAUACUUUUUCUCUCUUUGUUAAUAUGUGACGACUUUAAUGUCUUUGUUUUUAUUUAUAAUUGAAACAUCCGACAGUAAAACCUUUAAAGAAUGAA